UACAGAGGUCUCAAGCGUUGUUCGGAUUCAUUGGGCGUAAAGGGUGCGUAGGCGGCGCGGUAAGUCGGGUGUGAAAUUUCGGAGCUUAACUCCGAAACUGCAUUCGAUACUGCGGUGCUUGAGGACUGGAGAGGAGACUGGAAUUUACGGUGUAGCGGUGAAAUUCGUAGAUAUUCGGAAGAACACCAGUGGCGAAGGCGGCUCACUGGCCCGGUUCUGACGCUGAGGUGCGAAAGCGUGGGGAGCAAACAGG
This 253-nucleotide ribosomal RNA is filed under the name uncultured bacterium. Its description in RNAcentral is "partial 16S ribosomal RNA". It matches the Rfam family "Bacterial small subunit ribosomal RNA", at positions 524 to 776 of the family's 1533-position model. The record is from RNAcentral.